UGAAACUACUUUCACGUGGAGGACUUAUCUGCAAAAAGGGAAUCUCCGAACCGCACCUCCACCACCUGCCGCGCCGGCCGGCCGGCCGGCGAGCCUCUUCCUCCGGUCGUUCCCCUCCUACUCGCAUCGUGUCUCCAUUUUCUGGGUGUAGUUCGGAAAGAUCUGGACCGUGGCAACCGAUCUACAAGGCCAUGGGGUUCCUCGAGGACUUCCAAGCCAGUGUUGAAGCGUUGCCAGCUAUGCUGCACAAGAACUAUUCAUUAAUGCAAGAGCUAGAUAAAAGUUUGCAAGGUGUGCAACUAGAAAAUGAACAGCGCUGUCAGCAAGAAAUAGAGGACAUUAAGCAUGGACUUGAAUCCGGAAGUAUUACAUUUGACCCAGCAAAACUGAAAUUUUCUGAUGAAGCAAUUGAGGAGCAGAAUUGCUGACGAGAAGGUGGCUUUAGCCACUCAGACUUAUGACCUGGGCUAUGAGGGCAUCCUUGAAGCGAUGAGGAAGGCUAGGAGGCUCAAUAACCACGUUUUCUCCAUGUUGAGGGCGCGCUGCCCCCUCGAGGACAAGAUUGCAUGUGCUAUCAAGCCAAGUGGGGCACCUCUUCAUCGUAUGAAAUUUAUGAACACUGUGUCUGCAUUCGAGACAUUGCCACAAAGAGUCACCAGACAAGAUCCAGGCGGAUGUGUUCCUCUUUUGUAUGUGUGGUCGUGUAAUGUGUUGUCGUAAGCUACUUGUAUAUUAUGUUGUUGCACUCAUAAACGGUGAACCCUGGGACUUGAAUAAAAGAAGAAUGUACUUGCUGUA
Long non-coding RNA from Phragmites australis (common reed), 798 nucleotides. RefSeq lists it as uncharacterized. Lineage: Eukaryota; Viridiplantae; Streptophyta; Magnoliopsida; Poales; Poaceae. The transcript has 4 exons. The record is from RefSeq and is a predicted model, not a curated record.